Molecule: unclassified non-coding RNA, 386 nt
Filed under: uncultured Paecilomyces
Lineage: Eukaryota; Fungi; Ascomycota; Eurotiomycetes; Eurotiales; Thermoascaceae
Description: sequence contains ITS2
Rfam family: 5.8S ribosomal RNA (bases 1-154)
Source: RNAcentral
AACUUUCAACAAUGGAUCUCUUGGUUCCGGCAUCGAUGAAGAACGCAGCGAAAUGCGAUAAGUAAUGUGAAUUGCAGAAUUCCGUGAAUCAUCGAAUCUUUGAACGCACAUUGCGCCCUCUGGUAUUCCGGAGGGCAUGCCUGUCCGAGCGUCAUUGCUGUACCUCAAGCCCGGCUUGUGUGUUGGGCCUACCGUCCUGUUUGGAUGGUGGCCCGAAAGGCAGUGGCGGCGUCGCGUCCCGGUCCUUGAAGCGUAUGGGGUUUUGUCACCCGCUUGGAGGCCGGCCGAUGCCGUAGCCCAUCGUGGAUCUUCCACAUUUAUUUCUGAUGGACCUCGGAUCAGGUAGGGAUACCCGCUGAACUUAAGCAUAUCAAUAAGCGGAGGCU